This 720-nucleotide ribosomal RNA is filed under the name Bacillus cereus. Its description in RNAcentral is "bacterial SSU rRNA". It matches the Rfam family "Bacterial small subunit ribosomal RNA", at positions 19 to 719 of the family's 1533-position model. Lineage: Bacteria; Bacillati; Bacillota; Bacilli; Caryophanales; Bacillaceae. The record is from RNAcentral.
AUGGCUCAGGAUGAACGCUGGCGGCGUGCCUAAUACAUGCAAGUCGAGCGAAUGGAUUAAGAGCUUGCUCUUAUGAAGUUAGCGGCGGACGGGUGAGUAACACGUGGGUAACCUGCCCAUAAGACUGGGAUAACUCCGGGAAACCGGGGCUAAUACCGGAUAACAUUUUGAACCGCAUGGUUCGAAAUUGAAAGGCGGCUUCGGCUGUCACUUAUGGAUGGACCCGCGUCGCAUUAGCUAGUUGGUGAGGUAACGGCUCACCAAGGCAACGAUGCGUAGCCGACCUGAGAGGGUGAUCGGCCACACUGGGACUGAGACACGGCCCAGACUCCUACGGGAGGCAGCAGUAGGGAAUCUUCCGCAAUGGACGAAAGUCUGACGGAGCAACGCCGCGUGAGUGAUGAAGGCUUUCGGGUCGUAAAACUCUGUUGUUAGGGAAGAACAAGUGCUAGUUGAAUAAGCUGGCACCUUGACGGUACCUAACCAGAAAGCCACGGCUAACUACGUGCCAGCAGCCGCGGUAAUACGUAGGUGGCAAGCGUUAUCCGGAAUUAUUGGGCGUAAAGCGCGCGCAGGUGGUUUCUUAAGUCUGAUGUGAAAGCCCACGGCUCAACCGUGGAGGGUCAUUGGAAACUGGGAGACUUGAGUGCAGAAGAGGAAAGUGGAAUUCCAUGUGUAGCGGUGAAAUGCGUAGAGAUAUGGAGGAACACCAGUGGCGAA